Molecule: ribosomal RNA, 484 nt
Filed under: uncultured bacterium
Lineage: Bacteria
Description: partial 16S ribosomal RNA
Rfam family: Bacterial small subunit ribosomal RNA
Source: RNAcentral
AUUGAACGCUGGCGGCAGGCCUAACACAUGCAAGUCGAGCGGAUGAAGGGAGCUUGCUCCUGGAUUCAGCGGCGGACGGGUGAGUAAUGCCUAGGAAUCUGCCUGGUAGUGGGGGAUAACGUCCGGAAACGGGCGCUAAUACCGCAUACGUCCUGAGGGAGAAAGUGGGGGAUCUUCGGACCUCACGCUAUCAGAUGAGCCUAGGUCGGGUUAGCUAGUUGGUGGGGUAAAGGCCUACCAAGGCGACGAUCCGUAACUGGUCUGAGAGGAUGAUCAGUCACACUGGAACUGAGACACGGUCCAGACUCCUACGGGAGGCAGCAGUGGGGAAUAUUGGACAAUGGGCGAAAGCCUGAUCCAGCCAUGCCGCGUGUGUGAAGAAGGUCUUCGGAUUGUAAAGCACUUUAAGUUGGGAGGAAGGGCAGUAAGUUAAUACCUUGCUGGUUUGACGUUACCAACAGAAUAAGCACCGGCUAACUUCGUG